UAGGGAAUAUUGGUCAAUGGAUGGAAGUCUGAACCAGCCAUGCCGCGUGCAGGAAGAAGGCCUUCUGGGUUGUAAACUGCUUUUGCCAGGGGAUAAAAUUUCCAUGCGUGGAGAAUUGAAGGUACCUGGUGAAUAAGCCACGGCUAACUACGUGCCAGCAGCCGCGGUAAUACGUAGGUGGCAAGCGUUGUCCGGAUUUAUUGGGUUUAAAGGGUGCGUAGGCGGCUAAUUAAGUCAGUGGUGAAAUAUCGCAGCUCAACUGUGAGGGUGCCAUUGAUACUGAUUGGCUUGAGUGGAGUCGAGGUAGGCGGAAUUGACGGUGUAGCGGUGAAAUGCUUAGAUAUCGUCAAGAACACCGAUAGUGAAGACAGCUUACUAGACUUCAACUGACGCUGAGGCACGAAAGUGUGGGGAUCAAACAG
This 422-nucleotide ribosomal RNA is filed under the name uncultured bacterium. Its description in RNAcentral is "bacterial SSU rRNA". It matches the Rfam family "Bacterial small subunit ribosomal RNA", at positions 355 to 775 of the family's 1533-position model. The record is from RNAcentral.